CCUACGGGUGGCAGCAGUGGGGAAUAUUGCACAAUGGGGGAAACCCUGAUGCAGCGACGCCGCGUGAGUGAAGAAGUAUUUCGGUAUGUAAAGCUCUAUCAGCAGGGAAGAAGCAAGACGGUACCUGACUAAGAAGCCCCGGCUAACUACGUGCCAGCAGCCGCGGUAAUACGUAGGGGGCAAGCGUUAUCCGGAUUUACUGGGUGUAAAGGGAGCGUAGACGGUAUGGCAAGUCUGAAGUGAAAGGCCAGGGCUUAACCCUGGGACUGCUUUGGAAACUGUUAGACUAGAGUGCUGGAGAGGUAAGUGGAAUUCGUAGUGUAGCGGUGAAAUGCGUAGAUAUUAGGAGGAACACCAGUGGCGAAGGCGGCUUACUGGACAGUAACUGACGUUGAGGCUCGAAAGCGUGGGGAGCAAACAGGAUUAGAUACCCCGGUAGUC
This 441-nucleotide ribosomal RNA is filed under the name uncultured bacterium. Its description in RNAcentral is "partial 16S ribosomal RNA". It matches the Rfam family "Bacterial small subunit ribosomal RNA", at positions 338 to 795 of the family's 1533-position model. The record is from RNAcentral.